Long non-coding RNA from Etheostoma spectabile (orangethroat darter), 206 nucleotides. RefSeq lists it as uncharacterized. The record is from RefSeq and is a predicted model, not a curated record. The transcript has 3 exons. Lineage: Eukaryota; Metazoa; Chordata; Actinopteri; Perciformes; Percidae.
AGGUUAUGUAGGAUACAUUACUGAUAGACUGGGAAGAAAAACAAUACCGCUCAAAUAGGUAGUUAUCUGGAAAUUAAAAUACAUCUAUAGUUGGGGCCUAAAUGUCAUCUCCCGACGGAUGUUUAACUCCCUGCAAAGUAAUACGGCUUCUUCAUCAAAGGGAUCGUUGACAAAAGGAAAUGCUAAUGCUUUCAGAAAAAAAAAAG